AAUAAGUAAAAACAAAUAUUAGUUUGUUAUAGUAUCUUAUAAAAAUAAAAUAAAAUUUUAUAUUUUGGAUAAGUACAUCCCUUUUGUAUCAUGGUCUAAUAAAUUAAAAAAUGAAUAUUUAGAUCCGAAUCUCUUUGGUUAUAUUUUUUUUAGUAAUCAGAACUAAACUAUUAAAAGGUUUUCAUAGUUAAAAAUAAAUUAGGUAUAAAGAUUAUAAACCGGAAAGAGUUAUAUCUGAUUGAAGAGUUAUAUAAUUUAUUUUCUAAAUCUUUGGGUUAAUUUCAAAGAUUCAAAUAAAAAUAUAAUUUUUCUUAAAAUGUCUGAGAUGAGAAGUGUCUUUUGACUUAAAAAGUGUUAUAACUUUAUUAAAACUUUAUAUUAUGUUUUGUUUAUUAGUAUUCUUCAAAAAUAAUAAAUUACAAUAUUGAUAGAAUAAGUAUAUUAAAUUAAUUAUAGGAACUCAAUAUUUUUACAACUGUUUAUCAAAAACAUUUUCUUUAGAAUAUAUUUAAAGAUAAUACCUGCUCAAUGUUUAUUAUAAAUAGCUGCGGUAUUUUAACUGCACUAAGGUAGCAUAAUUAAUUGUCUUUUAAAUGGUGACUUGUUUGAAUGGUUUUAUGAGAAAAAGAUUUUCUUUAAAUUAUAUAGAAUUUAUAUUUUUGGUUAAAAUACCUAAUUUAUAAAGAAAGACGAGAAGACCCUGUUGAGUUUGACAAAGUUAUAUAUUUGUUAAAAUGGGAAAUUUAAUCUCUUUUUGAGAUUUUUUAGAUCCUAAAUAUUUAAGGAAAAAGGAUAAAAUUACCACAGGGAUAACAGGACUAUAUUUACUGAGAGUUCUAAUUGAAGUAAAUGUUUGUUACCUCGAUGUUGAAUCGAAAUAUCUUUUUGGUGCAGUAGCUAAUAAAGUAGGUCUGUUCGACCUUUAAAAUUUCACGUGAUUUGAGUUAAGACCGGCGUGAGCCAGGUUGGUUUCUAUCUUCUUAAGAUUGUUUUUUGUACGAAAGGAAUUGAACAAUUAGAAUUUCU
Molecule: ribosomal RNA, 1026 nt
Filed under: Planocera reticulata
Lineage: Eukaryota; Metazoa; Platyhelminthes; Polycladida; Planoceridae
Description: 16S rRNA
Rfam family: Bacterial large subunit ribosomal RNA (bases 684-981)
Source: RNAcentral